Amborella trichopoda is the source of this 2706-nucleotide non-coding RNA. NCBI's taxonomy places the organism in Eukaryota, Viridiplantae, Streptophyta, Magnoliopsida, Amborellales, Amborellaceae. The record is from RefSeq and is a predicted model, not a curated record.
GAAUGUUUUCCUUCUAGACUCUAGAGAUAAGAAGAGUGGAGUUGCAGAGCUCCUCACCACUACAGCCAUGGCAGAGCUUCUCACCUUCUCUAAAAAUAUAUCUUCUCUCUCUUCCACUGCAACUCUUAUCCCAUUCCACCACUGCAAACCCUUCUCCAAACUGUCUUCUUCCCUUGUUCCUUCUUUGACUAACGAAAACUUCACCCGGCUUUCAUUUCCCCCUUUCCAAUUGACUUGCAGGAAUCCUGUUCGGUGCAAUUGUGCUCCAUUGUCCGGUGAAUUUGAAGGCGAUGAGGAAAAAAGCGAGGACUAUGACACUGAGGGGGAGUAUGAGGAUAUAGAGAGCGGAGACUUUGAAGAAGAGGCGCAGGCAGCCGUUAGAGAGUACUCACUCUCUCUAUCUAGAGAAUUGUCCAUAGAAGAAGAUGCAUCUGAUCAAAAGAACCAAGGCAAAUGGCAAAAGAGGCGUGCUGGUUCCUUUCAACAUGUUCCUGAUCAUCUUCUUCCGCGAGUUACGAUUGUGGGGAGGCCGAACGUUGGUAAAUCAGCAUUAUUCAAUCGUCUUGUUGGGGGGAAUAGAGCGAUUGUUGUAGAUGAACCUGGUGUUACCAGAGAUCGCUUGUAUGGUAGAUCUUUUUGGGGAGCACAUGAAUUUAUGGUGGUAGACACCGGUGGUGUUCUCACGCUUUCGAAGUCUCAGGCUAGUGUACAAGAGGAAUUGGCAAUAACAACUACCAUUGGUAUGGAUGGAAUUUCGCUUUCUGCUAGAGAGGCAGCUGUUGCAAAGAUGCCUUGCAUGAUAGAGAGACAAGCUGCUACUGCUGUGGAGGAAGCUUCUGUUAUUAUUUUUCUUGUUGAUGGCCAGACAGGCCCAACAGCAGCUGAUGUGGAGAUAGCAGACUGGCUACGUAAGAACCACUCUGACAGAAGUAUCAUUCUUGCUGUGAACAAGUGUGAAUCACCACGCAAGGGGCUUAUGCAAGCCUCAGAAUUUUGGUCAUUGGGGUUUACUCCAAUUCCUAUAUCUGCAGUGUCUGGCACGGGAACAGGAGAGCUUCUUAAUCUUGUUUGUUCAGAGCUAAAAACUAUUGAGGACUCUGAAGAAUAUGAUGGAUUGGAAAACUAUAUCCCUGCAAUUGCUAUCGUUGGCAGGCCAAAUGUUGGGAAGAGUAGCAUUUUGAAUGCAUUGGUUGGGGAGGACAGGACAAUUGUUAGCCCAAUUAGUGGGACCACACGUGAUGCUAUUGAUACUGAAUUCAUGGGAUCAGAUGGGCAAAAGUACAGACUUAUUGAUACAGCUGGGAUAAGACGAAGGGCAGCAGUUGCUUCAGCAGGCAAUCUGACCGAAUCCCUAUCUGUGAAUCGAGCGUUUCGAGCCAUAUGCCGUUCGGAUCUGGUGGCUCUUGUCAUUGAGGCUAUGGCUUGCAUUACAGAGCAGGACUACAGAAUCGCAGAGAGGAUUGAAAAGGAAGGAAAAGGGUGUGUAAUUGUUGUAAAUAAAUGGGACACCAUACCAAAAAAGAAUAACCAGACAGCUACAUACUAUGAACAAGAUGUAAGGGAGAAGCUUCGUAUUCUUGAUUGGGCACCGAUAGUCUACUCAACUGCAACAAGUGGUCAGAGCGUUGACAAGAUUAUAGAUGCUGCUAGCAUGGUUGAAAGAGAGAGGUCAAGAAGGCUGGGCACUUCAAUUUUGAACCAAGUAGUGCAAGAAGCUUUAGCAUUUAAGGCUCCACCAAGGACUAGAGGAGGCAAGAGAGGGAGGGUAUACUAUUGCACUCAGGAAAACUACAUUUGCAGGCCCCAAAAGGAAAUUUAUGGGCCCAACCAGGCACCAAUAUCCUAAUUAGAAAGCUUCUAUCAAGUACUGCAGAUAAUUUCACUAUAAGCUGUAAACCACUUCCUCUUUAUCAGGCAGUAUUCCUUGGGAGCAGUGCGUGACAAAAUUCUUAUUAAAUUCUUUUCCUUUAUGAAUUAUAUUUCUGCAACUUCAGUUUUCGUAUUCCUCAUUCUCUUAUUAUCUGUACUUUUUGGUUAAAUCGUGCAAACUAGUAUGUGCAACCCCUCGCAUGACGCUCAUAACUUACAAGUGGUUUGCUCUUUAGGCAGCUAUUCGUCCUCCUACCUUUGUUUUCUUUGUAAAUGAUGCAAAGCUCUUUCCGGAGACAUACCGGCGUUACAUGGAGAAGCAACUAAGAGCCAACGCAGGGUUUCCAGGCACACCUAUCCGACUACUAUGGCGCAGCAGAAGGAAAACUGAGAAAACUGAAGGGAGAACUACUGGAAGCAAUAUGCAGCAAGUCUAUCCUGGCGCCACUGCUGGGAAUUUGGUGGUGACAAAUUGAUGCAUACUCGGCCUGUUUAUCCAUGAGGCUGCUGGGCUCUUUCCUUCAUAGCAGUUGGUUUGAAAACAACCGGCUUUUACUUUGCCUGAGGAAGUGAUCACUAAUAUAGUGAUUUAGUGCAAGAAGUUGUACAUGUAACACUAAGAUCUUCCUUUUUUUUCAUGGUUACUAGGAUUACAUUUAUGCAAAUCAAGUGCUUUCCCUUUUUGUAUGGAUCCUUUAGUGCACCUGUCUUAAUUCAUGUAAGGGUGUUGAUACUCUCUGGCAAUGAGAGUUGAUCGAAAUCUAUGUACGAAUAUCUCAUGGAGGUUAGACGAUUGUAAAAAAAAAAAAGAAUGAAUCAUGGAGGUUAGAUUGUAUC